AGAGCCCUCAAAACCAGGGACAUUGGAGAAGGGUUAUUGAUCUCCCCCAGUCCUUCUGCCAAGACAACAAUUGGGCUUCUUUCCAUGGAGACCAGGGACUCUGAGGAUUUGGGGAAACCCCAGAAGAAAUUAGUGAGUGGCUCAUGGCAGAUUGAUGAGCCAGCCACUGUGAGACCUGAGGUCCUCUCAGAAGAAAGGACGCCCCAUGUUGUCCAGGAGACGCAAGACAAUGCACCUCAUUACUACAUCCCAAUCCAGAGGAACUCCAUCUUCAACCGAACUGUGAGACACAGAAGCAAAAGCAACACUGGAGGCGCUCCUGAGCGGAACACCACCCCCCCAGCAGAUUCACUGGAAAAUGGAAAAUCUGUAAAUGAGACCCUGACCUUGAAUUUCCCCCAGAGCAGAUCGGGUCCCUGGAGAAUACCAACACAGACACACCCACGAGCCAAGAGAACGAGAUUCUCUAAUGGCUGUGGAUCUGAUAUAUUUUGGAAAUACAGUGCUUUCUCUGUGUGACCACAUGCAUUUGUUGAAAUGCUCCUGUUGGUGAAAGACACAUGACAAUCACCCCAAAUCCUCAGGCCUGAUGUGUCCCCAGACCCUUGGUUAGGAGUGUCCCAAAGAAACCCACCUCCCAGGCUCUCCCACAUUUUCUACAGUUUUGGAUGAAUACACAGCAUUAUAGCAUCUUAUCCAUGAGUUAUUUGCGGGAGCCUGUUUUGAGAAAUACAUUUCUCUCUAUCAAGGCCGUAUAACUGUCCACAUUUCGUAGUUGGCAACAGAGCUACCAUUUGUCUGAGUUUUUUUUUAAGGACGCUACCAAGGACAUGUGAACCUUCAACAUGAAAAUUCCAAUAUUUCACUAGCUAAGCAACAUCAUCCAGGCUGCCUCUCACGCCUGGAAGGAGAGCAAAGCUUGGCUGCCUAUUUUGGAUUCUGAAAACGUGUUCAGUGAAGCAACAUCAAAUCUUCAGCAGCAAAGCCCCAAGGCCACAAUGCCUGCUUCCCAGGAUCAUGAAACCUGCCCAACACAAGCCUAUCUCCUUACACCGCACACCUCUUGGUCCCUCUGGGCUUUCCCCUACUUAACCAGAACUCUAACUGCCCAACCUAGCAACAGCAUCAAAGACAAAAGCCAGGAAGUUUCCUUCGAGGCUCAGUGGUGAACCAUCCUGACUAGGAUCCAUGAAGACGAGGGUUCGAUCCCUGGCCUCGCUCAGUGGGUUAAGGAUCCAGCGUUGCCCUGAGCUGUGGUGUAGGUCGCAGAUCCCAAGUUGCCGUGACUGUGGCGUAGGCCAGCAGCUCAGCACCGAUUCGACCCCUAGCCUGGGAACCUCCAUAUGCUGCAGGUGUGGCCCUAAAAAGCAAAACAAACAAACAAAUGAAACAAAACACUCCUCACUUCACCAAAACAGUGAAUCCAGUUUGGGUGGGGUUUUUGACUCCCCAGGGCAGGUCAAUCACCUCCCCCACGCUUGAGCCACCAAGCCCAGAAGGCUGCUAGUUCCCAAAGAGGUCAUUAACCAAAGAAACAUCGUCAUUAACCAAAGAAGGGCAAGAUGCAAUACCAGGAGAGGGCCAAUGCCACACUCAGUAACUGCAGAAGAAAGACUGAAAGCAAGGUUGCAUAAGCAUAACGCCCAUCAACUUCCCCAUAUUCACUUUUUCACUUGCUAUUUCCUGAUGCCACCUGGAUGGGCUGGAUGCUGGGAUGCAGAGAUUAAAGACAUCAGCAGAGCUGUCCACUCCCACUCCCCUACCCCCCGCCCCGUGGCAAGUCUCAGGUCAUUAAGAAGAGACACCAUGCAAGUGGGUGAUAACAGGGCAGAGCUAACAGCUCACGGAGCAAAGGCAGGGCCCUGGGCGCUCCCAGGGGUCACCCAGCUUCCACCCCAGCAGCCCCAGUCCAGGCUGCACAUUAACUCUGUUAACAAAGAAAUACCAGCAAGGUACUGGGGAGUCACUGAAAACAACAGGUGUGUGGAUUUGAGGAAAACUACCCCGGCAGGUGUGAAUGGGGCAGACUGAGGGAGAGAAAAAGACAUCAAGAAAAGGAAGGCUGUAAGAGGCACAGGGUCAGAGUUGAGGCUUGUGAAGGUAGGGGACAGCCCAUAAGACCACCCUCAGCUCAAAAAUGCACGAGAAGGACGCAGAGCUGUUCCUCGCAGUUACGGUUAUUGCAGUGAAAGGCUGCAGUUUUAUUUUAAUGUAUUUUGUGGCCACCCCCGUGGCAUGCAGAAGUUCCCGGGACAGAAUCCAAACCGAGCCACGGCAGUGACAACACUGAGUCCUUAAUCACUAGGCCACUAGGAAACUCCUGAAAGGCUAUGGUUUUAAAUCAGGCAAGAGUAGAGAUACAUAGGAUAAAAUCUGGAAAAGUUCCACUUGGAACUUCCCAGCUUCCCCUGUGGAACUGUGGACAGAGCUAACCUUCCCAGCCAACAAUGGGUGACAAUAUGGCCAACCGGAAAGCCCAUCUGAGCCUGGGCAUCCAGAGCUUUUCCUGGGGCUCCCCCACCUAGACCUAGGUGGCCCCCCAGGUAGCUGACCUCAGUCUGCAGCUUCUCUGGAAGCUGAACUAUCAUCAUACGGCCCAAAGCCUCUACCUUAUCUGACAUGGCCCAGGCCCCCAGGUAAGCAGAGACACUCUUAUCAGACAUGACAUUCCAGUGGCCUAGAGGUCACCUCCUAGGAGCCCAAAAAAGAGGCCAGACCUCUCUUUGGAUAAGAUUAACUCUUUACUAAACAAGAGUUUAAACUGUUGGUCUUUUAAACCUAUUCCCAAACAUGGUUCAAUCCACAUUAACAAAUUAUCCUCAUGAUACAAAGCAAGGAAAGAGGAGUUCCUGCUGUGGCUCAGGGGGUUAAGAACUUGACUAGUAUCCAUGAGGAUUCGGGUUCAAUCCCUGGCCUCGCUCAGUGGGUUAAAGGAUCUGGUGUUGCCACAAGCUGUGGUGUAGAUCGCAGACACAGCUCAGAUCCCAAGUUGCUGUGGCUGCGUCGUAGGCCAGCAGCUACAGCUCCAAUUCGACCCUUAGCCGGGAAACUUCCAUAUGCCAUGGGUGUGGCCCUUAAAAAAUAAAAAAGUAAGGAAAGAGCGUCAACUUCCACCUCAUCAGUAGAAUACUUCCAACCACGCAGCAGCAGAAUCUACUUUUGGAGAGUCUCCUUGGGGGGACCUUUUGAUCCACUGAGUAGGUUCUCUCACAGCUGCAGUGAGAGAGGCCACAUCCUGCCCUUUUCCAACUUUUUUCCCUGGAUUUUGGGGGUCCAUGUAGCCUCAAGCCUAGAGCCUUCUGAGGAUUGAUUGCUGCCUCUCUGGUUUAAAUAUGUUGAUUUUCAAAGCAACUGAAAACAUCUUUUAAGUGACAAAAGUAAACUGUGUUUAUGGAUUUAAAAGGUAGAAUUAAUUAAAAAUUAUCAAGGACCUGUUUUGAAAAGUUUUAAAAUAUGUAUUCGAAGACCAUCUUCUCACUAUGAAGUCAUUUUCCUACUAGAUUUAAGAGUACAGAUGUGGGAGUUCCUGUCAUGGCGCAGUGGUUAACGAAUCCGACGAGGAACCAUGAGGUUGCAGGUUCGAUCCCUGGCCUUGCUCAGUGGGUUAAGGAUCCGGUGUUGCUGUGGCUCUGGUGUAGGCCGGCGGCUACAGCCCUGAUUAGACCCCUAGCCUGGGAACCUCCAUAUGCCGCGGGAGCAGCCCUAGAAAAGGCAAAAAGACGACAAAAAAAAAAAAAGUACAGAUGUGUUUUAACGUCUAGUAGUCUGGCAACAUGCCAUGUGACCCUACGAAUAUUUCGAAUAAGAAAAUAGAAAUUGCAGAUCUUUAUGCUACACGAGGUAGUGUUGAGUUCCUAGCGCAUGCCUGCAGAAUCCACCAUUAGCUGGCUGUGUGAUCUUGAGCUUGUCAUUUUAACCUUCUGGUUCUGCUUCUUUUUCUGUAAAAUAAAAGAGCUGGACCAGAUCAUUUCUAGGUUCCUUCUCCCUCUAGCAAUCCUCCCUCAGAAUAAAAUAAACAUCUUACAAACAUGAAUGAGAACUCCUGAAAGCUGAGGUUACUACAUAAAUAAGAAUCCCCUCUAUUUCCAGUAUUCACCUCUUAUACCCCAAAGGAAGAAACAAGGAACCUUUAGAUAAAAGACAUAAAAUGAUGAAAUAUUUUGCAAGACAUAUCAUUAAUUCCUUAGCAAUCUCCUGUAGAGCAUCAACUAUGGACUACUCAAGGAUACAUAUUUGAAAUAUUUGCUUCUACUUUACGUUGUGAAUGAUUCGGUGCAAGCUACCCGCGAAAUGGAGAUUUUCAUCAUAGCCUGCCUAAGAAGCGCUAAAUAUGAUGGAAAAUAGAACAUGGGGAAUUGAGCUUAAGGUUAUAUGCCUUCAGAACUCAGUGACUUUCUAAACUGAUUUUAUAAUUAGAAGGAUAUUUUUAGCUUAUUUUUCAAUUGGAAGGUUUUAAUAUACUCAUCUGAAGCUCUGU
Molecule: long non-coding RNA, 4477 nt
Filed under: Sus scrofa (pig)
Lineage: Eukaryota; Metazoa; Chordata; Mammalia; Artiodactyla; Suidae
Description: lncRNA (ENSSSCG00060076631.1)
Source: RNAcentral